GCACUGCUGAGGAGUCCCACAAUAGAACAAAACGGAUGUCCAGUGC
Schistosoma rodhaini is the source of this 46-nucleotide non-coding RNA. NCBI's taxonomy places the organism in Eukaryota, Metazoa, Platyhelminthes, Trematoda, Strigeidida, Schistosomatidae. The record is from Rfam.